UACAGAGGGGGCAAGCGUUAUUCGGAAUUAUUGGGCGUAAAGGGCGCGUAGGCGGCUUUUCAAGUGACGGGUGAAAUCCCUCGGCUUAACCGAGGAACUGCCUGUCAGACUGGGAGGCUUGAGACCGGGAGAGGUGAGUGGAAUUCCCAGUGUAGCGGCGAAAUGCGUAGAUAUUGGGAGGAACACCAGUGGCGAAGGCGGCUCACUGGACCGGAACUGACGCUGAGGCGCGAAAGCGUGGGGAGCAAACAGG
RNAcentral lists this ribosomal RNA (253 nucleotides) under uncultured bacterium. Its description in RNAcentral is "partial 16S ribosomal RNA". It matches the Rfam family "Bacterial small subunit ribosomal RNA", at positions 524 to 776 of the family's 1533-position model. The record is from RNAcentral.